GUAGGAUUGAACAUUCAACUUUGCAUUAACUCACUCUUACAAGAGUGUCGUGACCGUUAUCAAUAUCUGAAACACAAAUGUUUUCAUAAUUAAGUUUCAGUUUCAAUAAACGAUCCUCGUCACACGAAAAUUCCCGUAGCGUAUCAGUCAUCAUCAGUCCCUUUCCAACACUCAAAGCGAUCCUUUCCCGAAUAUGGCUGCAAAAAUAGGAAUCUGCCACUGUCUAGUUUUGAUCGCUCUGAUAAUUGUUUCCUCAAAUGGAUCAGAUCCAACAACUUCGGAAUCACCGUGUCCAGCAAAACACGUUGACUGCUAUCAGGCUUCGGUACGGGAACAACCAGGAAUGCAGAUGAUGAUGCUCGGAAUCUGGCGUACGGGACCGAAAAAGGGCCAACCAUUUUAUUCACUUGAGGAUUUGGAGGAAAAUCGGAGACUGUUCAAGGAGAUGCUAAAAAAUCAAAUUCCUCUACCAGUUUCAGGGACCCAAGUUGAAUAGUUUAAUAUUUGAAUACAAACGUACAAAAAUUUCAAUGACUGACAGGCAAAGAAUGAAUUUAUACAACUGAAAGCUCAAAGAGGACCUAGAUCAAAGGCUGAUUUAUUUGUCACAAA
Aedes aegypti (yellow fever mosquito) is the source of this 612-nucleotide long non-coding RNA. RefSeq lists it as uncharacterized. The record is from RefSeq and is a predicted model, not a curated record. Lineage: Eukaryota; Metazoa; Arthropoda; Insecta; Diptera; Culicidae. The transcript has 2 exons.